This is a long non-coding RNA of Haliotis rubra (blacklip abalone), 345 nucleotides long. RefSeq lists it as uncharacterized. The transcript is spliced from 3 exons. Lineage: Eukaryota; Metazoa; Mollusca; Gastropoda; Lepetellida; Haliotidae. The record is from RefSeq and is a predicted model, not a curated record.
CAACAUGCUGAGUAUAUCAUAUCAACAUGCUGAAUGAGUGAAAUCAACAUGCAGAGUAGGUGAUAUCAACAUGCUGAGUGAGUGAUAUCAACAUGCUGAGUAUAUCAUAUCAACAUACAGAGUAGGUGAUAUCAACAUGCUGAGUAUAUCAUAUCAACAUGCAGAGGUGAUAUUAACAUGCAAAGUGAUAUCAACAUGCUGAGGAGGUGAAAUCAACAUGCAGAGUAGGUGAUAUCAACAUGCAGAGUAGGUGAUAUCAACAUGCUGAGUAUAUCAUAUCAACAUGCUGAGUAGGUGAUAUCAACAUGCUGAGUAAGUGAUAUCAACAUGCUGAGUGAGUGAUAU